Toxorhynchites rutilus septentrionalis is the source of this 136-nucleotide small nuclear RNA. RefSeq annotates it as U4 spliceosomal RNA. NCBI's taxonomy places the organism in Eukaryota, Metazoa, Arthropoda, Insecta, Diptera, Culicidae. The record is from RefSeq and is a predicted model, not a curated record. The transcript has a single exon.
AGCUUUGCGCAGUAGCGAUAUCGUAACCAAUGAGGUUUCACCGAGAUGCGAUUAUUGCUAGUAAUAAAAAAGCAUGAUGUUUUUACUAAUGGAUGGGGCUAUAAAUAUAAGUAUCAAAUUUUUAGCUUGGACAAAC